GGAGAGCGUUCUGUAAGCCUGCGAAGGUGUCUUGUAAAGGAUGCUGGAGGUAUCAGAAGUGCGAAUGCUGACAUGAGUAGCGUUAAAGGGGGUGAAAAGCCCCCUCGCCGAAAGCGCAAGGUUUCCUACGCAACGUUCAUCGGCGUAGGGUGAGUCGGCCCCUAAGGCGAGGCAGAGAUGCGUAGCUGAUGGGAAACAGGUUAAUAUUCCUGUACCGAUCUAUAGUGCGAUGUGGGGACGGAGAAGGUUAGCUCAGCCAACUGUUGGAUAUGUUGGUUCAAGCAUGUAGGCGUGCUCUUUAGGCAAAUCCGGAGAGCUUAGCUGAGGUGUGAUAACGAGUCUGCUUGCAGACGAAGUGAGUGAUACCCUGCUUCCAGGAAAAGCCACUAAGCUUCAGCUAUAGAUUGACCGUACCGCAAACCGACACUGGUGCGCGAGAUGAGUAUUCUAAGGCGCUUGAGAGAACUCUGGAGAAGGAACUCGGCAAAUUGACACCGUAAC
Molecule: ribosomal RNA, 501 nt
Filed under: uncultured bacterium
Lineage: Bacteria
Description: bacterial LSU rRNA
Rfam family: Bacterial large subunit ribosomal RNA
Source: RNAcentral